RNAcentral lists this ribosomal RNA (200 nucleotides) under uncultured bacterium. RNAcentral's name for it is "partial 16S ribosomal RNA". It matches the Rfam family "Bacterial small subunit ribosomal RNA", at positions 8 to 222 of the family's 1533-position model. The record is from RNAcentral.
AGAGUUUGAUCCUGGCUCAGAAUCAACGCUGGCGGCGUGCCUAACACAUGCAAGUCGCACGAGAAAGGGGCUUCGGCUCUGAGUAAAGUGGCGCACGGGUGAGUAACACGUGAAUUAUCUACCUCCGAGUGGGGAAUAACCUAGAGAAAUCUGGGCUAAUACCGCAUAACACUUACGAGUCAAAGCAGCAAUGCGCUUGG